Molecule: ribosomal RNA, 99 nt
Filed under: Rickenella fibula
Lineage: Eukaryota; Fungi; Basidiomycota; Agaricomycetes; Hymenochaetales; Rickenellaceae
Description: partial 5.8S ribosomal RNA
Rfam family: 5.8S ribosomal RNA
About the family: 5.8S ribosomal RNA (5.8S rRNA) is a component of the large subunit of the eukaryotic ribosome. It is transcribed by RNA polymerase I as part of the 45S precursor that also contains 18S and 28S rRNA. Functionally, it is thought that 5.8S rRNA may be involved in ribosome translocation.
Source: RNAcentral
GAUAAGUAAUGUGAAUUGCAGAAUUCAGUGAAUCAUCGAAUCUUUGAACCGACCUUGCGCUCCUUGGUAUUCCGAGGAGCAUGCCUGUUUGAGUGUCAU